This 1482-nucleotide ribosomal RNA is filed under the name uncultured bacterium. RNAcentral's name for it is "bacterial SSU rRNA". It matches the Rfam family "Bacterial small subunit ribosomal RNA". The record is from RNAcentral.
AACGAACGCUGGCGGCGUGGAUGAGGCAUGCAAGUCGAACGGGAUCCAGCAGGUAGCAAUAUUUGCUGGUGAGAGUGGCGUAAGGGUGAGUAAUGCGUGGGUAAUCUACCUCUAAGAUCGGCAUAGCCCGGCGAAAGCUGGGAUAAUUCCGAAUGUUGUCGGCCGGUGCAUACCGGCUUGUCCAAAGCUGGGGACCGCAAGGCCUGGCACUUGGAGAUGAGCCCACGUCCUAUCAGCUAGUUGGUGAGGUAACGGCUCACCAAGGCUUACGGGUAGCUGGUCUGAGAGGACGAUCAGCCACACUGGGACUGAGACACUGCCCAGACUCCUACGGGAGGCUGCAGUCGAGAAUCUUUCGCAAUGGGCGCAAGCCUGACGAAGCGACGCCGCGUGUAGGAUGAAGGCCUUCGGGUUGUAAACUACUGUCUUUGGGGAGCAACGGCCGGGACGUUAAUACCGUACCGGAUUGAUAGUACUCAAGGAGGAAGCCACGGCUAACUCUGUGCCAGCAGCCGCGGUAAUACAGAGGUGGCGAGCGUUGUUCGGAUUUACUGGGCGUAAAGGGUGCGUAGGCGGUUCUGCGUGUCGGAUGUGAAAUCUCACUGAAAACGGUGAAACGGCAUUCGAAACUGCAGGGCUAGAGUGCAGGAGAGGAUGGCGGAAUUCUCGGUGUAGCGGUGAAAUGCGUUGAUAUCGAGAGGAACGCCGGUGGCGAAGGCGGCCAUCUGGACUGCAACUGACGCUGAGGCACGAAAGCUAGGGGAGCAAACAGGAUUAGAUACCCUGGUAGUCCUAGCCGUAAACGGUGUGAACUUGGUGUGGGAGGAAUUAUCCCCUUCCGUGCCGUAGCUAACGCGAUAAGUUCACCGCCUGGGGAGUACGGCCGCAAGGCUAAAACUCAAAGGAAUUGACGGGGGCCCGCACAAGCGGUGGAGCAUGUGGCUUAAUUCGAUGCAACGCGAAGAACCUUACCUGGGCUUGACAUGUAACUGCAAAUCCGGUGAAAGCCGGACUCCUUCGAGGGUGUUACACAGGUGCUGCAUGGCUGUCGUCAGCUCGUGCCGUGAGGUGUUAGGUUAAGUCCUGCAACGAGCGCAACCCCUGUGAUUAGUUGCUAGUCGCGCAAGCGAAGCACUCUAGUCAGACUGCCUGUGAUAAGCAGGAGGAAGGUGGGGAUGACGUCAAGUCAGUAUGGUCCUUAUGCCCAGGGCUGCACACGUGCUACAAUGUAGGGUACAGAGGGAUGCGAAUCCGCGAGGUGGAGCAAAUCCCAUAAAACCCUACUCAGUUCAGAUUGGAGUCUGCAACUCGACUCCAUGAAGCUGGAAUCGCUAGUAAUGGCGCAUCAGCUACGGCGCCGUGAAUACGUUCCCGGGCCUUGUACACACCGCCCGUCACAUCAUGAAAGCCGAUUGCACCCGAAGUCGCUGUUUCAACCCGCAAGGGGGAUAGGUGCCUAAGGUGUGGUUGGUGAUUGGGAUG